This 468-nucleotide ribosomal RNA is filed under the name uncultured bacterium. Its description in RNAcentral is "partial 16S ribosomal RNA". It matches the Rfam family "Bacterial small subunit ribosomal RNA", at positions 28 to 507 of the family's 1533-position model. The record is from RNAcentral.
GACGAACGCUGGCGGCGUGCUUAACACAUGCAAGUCGAACGGAAAGGCCCUGCUUUUGUGGGGUGCUCGAGUGGCGAACGGGUGAGUAACACGUGAGUAACCUGCCCUUGACUUUGGGAUAAUUUCAGGAAACUGGGGCUAAUACCGGAUUGGAGCUCCUGCUGCAUGGUGGGGUUUGGAUAGUUUCGGCGGUUGGGGAUGGACUCGCGGCUUAUCAGCUUGUUGGUGGGGUCGUGGCUUACCAAGGCUUUGACGGGUAGCCGGCCUGAGUGGGUGACCGGCUACAUGGGGACUGAGAUAAGGCCGAGACUCCUACGGGGGGCAGCAGUGGGAAAUAUUGCACAAUGGGCGGAAGCCUGAUGCAGCAACGCCGCGUGCGGGAGGACGGCCUUCGGGUUGUAAACCGCUUUCGCCUGUGACGAAGCGUGAGUGACGGUAAUGGGUAAAGAAGCACCGGCUAACUACGUG